UUCCGGUUGAUCCUGCCGGAGGUCAUUGCUAUCGGAGUCCGAUUUAGCCAUGCUAGUCGUGCGAGUUUAGACUCGCGGCACCGAGCUCAGUAACACGUGGCCAAACUACCCUACAGAUACGGAUACCCUCGGGAAACUGAGGUUAACCCGUCAUACCGAUCUCAGGCUUGAAUCGCAGAGAUCACUAAACGCCCCGGCGCUGUAGGAUGUGGCUGCGGUUGAUUAGGUAGACGGUGGGGUAACGGCCCACCGUGCCCAUAAUCAGUACAGGUUGUGAGAGCAAGAACCUGGAGACGGAAUCUGAGACAAGAUUCCGGGCCCUACGGGGCGCAGCUGGCGCGAAACCUUUACACUGCACGCACGUGCGAUAA
Molecule: ribosomal RNA, 371 nt
Filed under: uncultured archaeon
Lineage: Archaea
Description: bacterial SSU rRNA
Rfam family: Archaeal small subunit ribosomal RNA
Source: RNAcentral